Molecule: ribosomal RNA, 346 nt
Filed under: uncultured Spirochaeta sp.
Lineage: Bacteria; Pseudomonadati; Spirochaetota; Spirochaetia; Spirochaetales; Spirochaetaceae
Description: bacterial SSU rRNA
Rfam family: Bacterial small subunit ribosomal RNA
Source: RNAcentral
UACAGGUGCUGCAUGGCUGUCGUCAGCUCGUGCUGUGAAGUGUGGUUAAGUCCCGCAACGAGCGCAACCCUAUCAUCUGUUGCCAGCAUUUAAGGUGGGGACUCAGAUGAGACUGCCGGUGACAAACCGGAGGAAGGUGGGGACGACGUCAAGUCAUCAUGGCCCUUAUGUCCUGGGCUACACACGUGCUACAAUGGCCGGUACAGAGUGAAGCGAAACCGCGAGGUGAAGCAAAACGCAGAAAGCCGGUCUCAGUACGGAUUGGAGUCUGAAACUCGACUUCAUGAAGUUGGAAUCGCUAGUAAUCGCGCAUCAGCAUGGCGCGGUGAAUACGUUCCCGGGCCUU